GGCGCGGUGGCGAAGCGGUAACGCAGGGGUCUGCAAAACCUCCAUGCACGGGUUCGAUCCCCGUUCGCGCCU
RNAcentral lists this transfer RNA (72 nucleotides) under Patescibacteria group bacterium. Its description in RNAcentral is "tRNA-Cys". It matches the Rfam family "tRNA". From Rfam's summary of the family: Transfer RNA (tRNA) molecules are approximately 80 nucleotides in length. Their secondary structure includes four short double-helical elements and three loops (D, anti-codon, and T loops). Further hydrogen bonds mediate the characteristic L-shaped molecular structure. tRNAs have two regions of fundamental functional importance: the anti-codon, which is responsible for specific mRNA codon recognition, and the 3' end, to which the tRNAs corresponding amino acid is attached (by aminoacyl-tRNA synthetases). tRNAs cope with the degeneracy of the genetic code in two manners: having more than one tRNA (with a specific anti-codon) for a particular amino acid; and 'wobble' base-pairing, i.e. permitting non-standard base-pairing at the 3rd anti-codon position. RNAcentral also lists the same sequence under 3 other names. The record is from RNAcentral.